RNAcentral lists this ribosomal RNA (505 nucleotides) under uncultured bacterium. RNAcentral's name for it is "partial 16S ribosomal RNA". It matches the Rfam family "Bacterial small subunit ribosomal RNA", at positions 28 to 507 of the family's 1533-position model. The record is from RNAcentral.
GACGAACGCUGGCGGCGUGCCUAAUACAUGCAAGUAGAACGCACAGUUUAUACCGUAGCUUGCUACACCAUAGACUGUGAGUUGCGAACGGGUGAGUAACGCGUAGGUAACCUGCCUGGUAGCGGGGGAUAACUAUUGGAAACGAUAGCUAAUACCGCAUAAUAUUAAUUAUUGCAUGAUAAUUAAUUGAAAGGUGCAAUUGCACCACCACCAGAUGGACCUGCGUUGUAUUAGCUAGUAGGUGAGGUAACGGCUCACCUAGGCGACGAUACAUAGCCGACCUGAGAGGGUGAUCGGCCACACUGGGACUGAGACACGGCCCAGACUCCUACGGGAGGCAGCAGUAGGGAAUAGUCGGCAAUGGACGAAAGUCUGACCGAGCAACGCCGCGUGAGUGAAGAAGGUUUUCGGAUCGUAAAGCUCUGUUGUAAGAGAAGAACGGGUGUGAGAGUGGAAAGUUCACACUGUGACGGUAUCUUACCAGAAAGGGACGGCUAACUACGUG